This is a non-coding RNA of Triticum aestivum (bread wheat), 126 nucleotides long. NCBI's taxonomy places the organism in Eukaryota, Viridiplantae, Streptophyta, Magnoliopsida, Poales, Poaceae. The record is from Rfam.
UUAAUACUCCCUCUGUUCGGAAAUACUCGUCACAGAAAUGCUUAAAAAUGGAUGUAUCUAAGAACUAAAAUACGUCUAGAUACAUCCAUUCUUGCGACAAGUAUUUCCGGACGAAGGGAGUAGAUA